UACGAAGGGGGCUAGCGUUGUUCGGAAUUACUGGGCGUAAAGGGCGUGCAGGCGGUUUGUUAAGUGCAGGGUGAAAGCUCCCGGCUCAACUGGGAGAGGUCCUUGCAUACUGGCAAACUCGAGGGAGGCAGAGGAAAGUGGAAUUCCCGGUGUAGUGGUGAUAUGCGUAGAUAUCGGGAGGAACACCUGUGGCGAAGGCGGCUUUCUGGGCCUUACCUGACGCUGAGACGCGAAAGCGUGGGGAGCGAACCGG
This 253-nucleotide ribosomal RNA is filed under the name uncultured bacterium. Its description in RNAcentral is "partial 16S ribosomal RNA". It matches the Rfam family "Bacterial small subunit ribosomal RNA", at positions 524 to 776 of the family's 1533-position model. The record is from RNAcentral.